Molecule: long non-coding RNA, 1561 nt
Organism: Solenopsis invicta (red fire ant)
Lineage: Eukaryota; Metazoa; Arthropoda; Insecta; Hymenoptera; Formicidae
Exons: 2
Source: RefSeq, a predicted model, not a curated record
GUUAUGCUGCCGGUAUGCUUGCGAAGUCGCGCCCUGCGAUUGCUGAACCACACCUGAAAAACGGUGCGCGUGACACUUGCUGACGGCAUCUUUCCGAAGAAAUCGAUCAGACGCCGGGGCCGGCUUGAAGAGUUUAUCGUCGAUGAUAUAACGAUGGUGUCCAGUUCUCUCCAGAAAAAUUUCUCCAUUUAUCCGUUACGAAAAUUAUACAGGACGCUGUCUAGCAUAACUAACAGCUUAAUAAAGACGAUCUCCGCUAAUGCAUUUUCAAUGCGAAAUAAUUAUACAGGAUAUUCAAGUAUUGAUUGUUAAAAUGUCAAAAUUUUUUUGCAGUACUGUCAUCAUCGCUUGAGCAUUCUGCAGUUAUUUUGACGGUGCGACAAAAAUAUUUUCAGAUAUGUAUCCAACUAAAUUUUUAGACUUUAACAGAAUUGCUCUUUCUGCGUGUAUAUUUUACUUGUUUAAAAGUAUUGAUCAUCUCUUCUUGAAAAUGCAUUCAUUCUUCUCGGAAUUUGGAGUGUAUUUUCCACUGUGCGUGGUCACUUAUCUUGUUGAAGUUAAUCUUCACUUCUUGAGACUUAUUUCCCAUAGAAGGCCCGCGGCCUCUCUGGCCGAGGACAAUAGCGUCAUGCCUUCGUUUGCUCAACCAUUCGAUACUUGGAAUUAAAUCCUCGGCCAUUCGAUACUUGGAAUUAAAUUCCCCGAGGAAUCCACGAAAUGAACCUCGUAAUAUCCUCGCAUUCAUCAUUUCGUUCCGUAAACAUUUCUAUGCGAUACGUUUCUACCUCCGUGCCAUUGAUAACUAUUUGGCUGAGAGAACCAGCAACUCGUGCGUCCGUUUUUUCUAGCAAACGAGAGAAAAAAAGCGCACGCAUACAAAAACACGUAUAUACGCAAAGAGAGAUCAUCGGCAGAAACUGACCGGGGCUACCUUUGCCAAAUAUUUACCCCUAAGUCGACUCCCUCCCCUAUUGUCCCCGCAAUCGUCCCCCAUUGUCGCUCAAUCGAGCGUUCCCGCGAACCAUUGUACCGGAUCGAAGUCGAACAACGUCGUGCUUUCCCCGCCGUUCUCGUCCCCGUUCGAUCUCCCGAUCGUUUUCGAAAUAACGUUUAAUCUCGUGCACGGAUUUUAUCGCUCGGUCGAACGCACGAGUGGUCGACGGGUGAGCAACGAGCGGCUUGUUGUGACGUCCGACAAUCCAUCCUGGCACAACAAACGGGGAUUAGCUCGCUCCUUUAUUUGCCUACCUACGCCAGCGCGCUAUCGCCGAUUCCGCGAUGCGGAAUUAAACGGCGACGACAGUAAUUCUAUUUCUUACGCCGCCGGCCCGUUCGGCUGAUGGCCGUCCGACCGGCGGCCGUUCAGCCGAUUUUUCGCCUGCGAUCCACGUUUUACGAGCUUUAACGUUCAAUUGAGAUCACCAAUUGAGGAGGUCUCUUCCUUGGACUAUCCAGGGAUCCAAAAAAGAGAAGAUUGGUUCGCAGGUCCGUAGAUUAUUUUAUACACUUGUACGAUCUCGACGCAAAGCUUGAGAUUUAUAUAAUAUAGCCUGAAUUCUGG